GAGGGUAUAGCUCAGUGGUAGAGAGUGUGCUUAGUAUGCAUGAGGUCCUGGGUUCAAUUCCCAGUACUUCCA
RNAcentral lists this transfer RNA (72 nucleotides) under Camelus bactrianus (Bactrian camel). It matches the Rfam family "tRNA". Rfam says of the family: Transfer RNA (tRNA) molecules are approximately 80 nucleotides in length. Their secondary structure includes four short double-helical elements and three loops (D, anti-codon, and T loops). The record is from Rfam by way of RNAcentral. Lineage: Eukaryota; Metazoa; Chordata; Mammalia; Artiodactyla; Camelidae. RNAcentral also lists the same sequence under 2 other names.